UCGCCUGUUUAUCAAAAACAUCGCCUUUAAAAAAGGUAAUACCUGCUCAAUGAAAGAUUUAAAUAGCCCUAUAAGCUAAGGUAGCAUAAUAAUUUGUUUCUUAAUUGGAAACUAGAAUGAACGGUUUUAUCAAAACUGUAUGUUUAAAUUAAAUUAAAAUAUUUAUUUAAAUGAAAAGAUUUAAAUAUUUGUUUUAGACGAUAAGACCCUAUGAAUCUUAAUAAUUCUAAUAUAUUAUAAAUUAUAAAUUAUUUAUUUGGGGAAAAUUAUAAUUUUUUUAUUAAAAGAUAAAUUGAUCUGUCUUCAAUUUUCUGAAAAAGAUACUCUAGGGAUAACAGCGUUAUUUUUGUAAAAGCCCGGAUUGAAACAAAAAAUUGUGACCUCGAUGUUGA
Molecule: ribosomal RNA, 392 nt
Filed under: Osphranticum labronectum
Lineage: Eukaryota; Metazoa; Arthropoda; Copepoda; Calanoida; Centropagidae
Description: partial 16S ribosomal RNA
Source: RNAcentral